RNAcentral lists this ribosomal RNA (260 nucleotides) under uncultured bacterium. RNAcentral describes it as "partial 16S ribosomal RNA". It matches the Rfam family "Bacterial small subunit ribosomal RNA", at positions 793 to 1055 of the family's 1533-position model. The record is from RNAcentral.
GUCCACGCCGUAACGAUGUCUACUAGCUGUUCGUGACCUUGUGUCGUGAGUAGCGCAGCUAACGCAUUAAGUAGACCGCCUGGGGAGUACGGUCGCAAGAUUAAACUCAAAUGAAUUGACGGGGCCCGCACAAGCGGUGGAGCAUGUGGUUUAAUUCGACGCAACGCGAAGAACCUUACCUACUCUUGACAUCUACAGAAGACUGCAGAGAUGCGGUUGUGCCUUCGGGAACUGUAAGACAGGUGCUGCAUGGCUGUCGU